This 63-nucleotide transfer RNA is filed under the name Streptomyces sp. DT2A-34. Its description in RNAcentral is "tRNA-Arg". The record is from RNAcentral. Lineage: Bacteria; Bacillati; Actinomycetota; Actinomycetes; Kitasatosporales; Streptomycetaceae.
UAGCUCAGCGGAUAGAGCAGGUGCCCUCUAAGUACUUGGCCGCAGGUUCGAGUCCCACCUGCG